GGGGAGUUGGCUCAGUGGUAGAGCGCUUGCCUUACAUGCCUGAGGCCCUGGGUUCAAUUCCUCAGCACCACA
Molecule: transfer RNA, 72 nt
Filed under: Dipodomys ordii (Ord's kangaroo rat)
Lineage: Eukaryota; Metazoa; Chordata; Mammalia; Rodentia; Heteromyidae
Rfam family: tRNA
About the family: Transfer RNA (tRNA) molecules are approximately 80 nucleotides in length. Their secondary structure includes four short double-helical elements and three loops (D, anti-codon, and T loops). Further hydrogen bonds mediate the characteristic L-shaped molecular structure. tRNAs have two regions of fundamental functional importance: the anti-codon, which is responsible for specific mRNA codon recognition, and the 3' end, to which the tRNAs corresponding amino acid is attached (by aminoacyl-tRNA synthetases). tRNAs cope with the degeneracy of the genetic code in two manners: having more than one tRNA (with a specific anti-codon) for a particular amino acid; and 'wobble' base-pairing, i.e. permitting non-standard base-pairing at the 3rd anti-codon position.
Source: Rfam by way of RNAcentral